RNAcentral lists this non-coding RNA (66 nucleotides) under Pseudomonas helmanticensis. The record is from RNAcentral. Lineage: Bacteria; Pseudomonadati; Pseudomonadota; Gammaproteobacteria; Pseudomonadales; Pseudomonadaceae.
AAAGAUCGCAGCCUGCGGCAGCUCCUGCAUUGAUCAGGGCAGGAGCUGCCGCAGGCUGCGAUCUUU